RNAcentral lists this transfer RNA (74 nucleotides) under bacterium HR21. Its description in RNAcentral is "tRNA-Ala". It matches the Rfam family "tRNA". From Rfam's summary of the family: Transfer RNA (tRNA) molecules are approximately 80 nucleotides in length. Their secondary structure includes four short double-helical elements and three loops (D, anti-codon, and T loops). Further hydrogen bonds mediate the characteristic L-shaped molecular structure. tRNAs have two regions of fundamental functional importance: the anti-codon, which is responsible for specific mRNA codon recognition, and the 3' end, to which the tRNAs corresponding amino acid is attached (by aminoacyl-tRNA synthetases). tRNAs cope with the degeneracy of the genetic code in two manners: having more than one tRNA (with a specific anti-codon) for a particular amino acid; and 'wobble' base-pairing, i.e. permitting non-standard base-pairing at the 3rd anti-codon position. The record is from RNAcentral.
GGGCCGGUAGCUCAGUUGGGAGAGCGCCAGAAUCGCACUCUGGAGGUCGGGAGUUCGAAUCUCCUCCGGUCCAC